RNAcentral lists this transfer RNA (75 nucleotides) under Nitrospinae bacterium RIFCSPLOWO2_12_FULL_45_22. RNAcentral's name for it is "tRNA-Thr". It matches the Rfam family "tRNA". Rfam says of the family: Transfer RNA (tRNA) molecules are approximately 80 nucleotides in length. Their secondary structure includes four short double-helical elements and three loops (D, anti-codon, and T loops). Lineage: Bacteria; Pseudomonadati; Nitrospinota. The record is from RNAcentral.
GCCGGCGUAGCUCAGGGGUAGAGCAACUGAUUCGUAAUCAGUAGGCCGGGGGUUCGACUCCCCCCGCCGGCUCCA